Molecule: long non-coding RNA, 6433 nt
Filed under: Salvia miltiorrhiza (redroot sage)
Lineage: Eukaryota; Viridiplantae; Streptophyta; Magnoliopsida; Lamiales; Lamiaceae
Description: long non-coding RNA (SMIL_LNC011885)
Source: RNAcentral
CGCCGGCCCGUCGCCGCCCACCCUCGCUGCUGCCUCGCGCCGCUGCCGCCCACCCUCGCUGCGUCUCAUCUCCUCCCCAAAUCUCUCUCUCUCUUCGCGAUCUCUCCCUCUUUGAGAGAUAGUCGCCGCCGCUGCUGUGACAGCCCUCAUUCCCGGGAGAAUAGGAAACGUGCUACUUAAUGGGAUUUCUAGACUUUGCUAGGAUAAAAUAGGUGAUAUGUCUUUAGAUUUGGGUGACACAUUCAUAAUAAAGGAAUUUCGGAAUUGAAGGAUAAUAAAUACGACAACUUAGAUAGAAAUUCUCCCAACCAGGAUCAAAAGUCCGGAGGUCUGAGACAACAAGAUAACACUUCAAACUAGACAUACAUAUAUGCGAGGUUCAGUUGCUAGAAAUGCGAUUGCCAAGAGAGUUCAUAAUAAUUAGGCUAGGAAUAUUUAAAGAGUCAAUCUCAAAAGAUAUCCACCUAAGUGAAUAUUAUGGCAGCGGAAUUUAUUCUUGACAUUCAUUUGGGAAUACAGCAACACCCUCCCUCAGCUUCGCACGUCACCAUCUGCCGCUCAACCUGCAAAAGGUUUUGAAAACAAUUGCAGGGCUGAGUACUAAUAUACUCAGUGGGUUUAGCCAUUUGAAAACAUUUGAAAAAAAAUCCAUUUAAAAGAAUAAUCCAUGCUAUGAACAGUAUAACAUAGAAAUAUUAGAAAGCAUUCCAUGCAUACUUAAAAUAAAUUGUGGAUCCAUUUUCAGUCUUCUCUCUACUGGUGCUUCACCUAUUAUGUGAACUUGUGGGAGCAGCCCACAGAGGUCCACUACCAUGCAUGUUUCAGAAAUGGGAGCAGCCCAAGUCUGACAGUCUGAGGCAAGUGGGAGCAGCCCACAAUACCCCCUUGUGUGUACACAAUCCUAACCAGGGCGAUCCAAUCGCUACGCCGGCUAGGACCCGAUCGUUAGAGAACAUAGGAGCACUUUAAACAAUAGAGAGAUAAAAUCAUUUUAACAUGGACAUUCAUUUGCAUUUGCAUAAAAACAAUUUAGAGCUCAAUAACUCAAAACAUACAUUGGAAAAUAAAAACCCACCUUAAUAACAAGCCUGUAGAUAAAACUUGCGCAAUUCUCUUCUUGUAAAAUCAGUGCUAAAGCCUUCUAUCAAGUGGACCUACAAGAUAAUCUAAUCUUAAUAGGCCUUAAAAUAUCGCAUGAGCUAACGAUUCUACAAAGCUGCUAAAUCUUAAUAUUCUGCGCCCGAAUUUUCAAAACUUAAUUGAAAAUCUUGAAAAUCGAAAUUAUCAAAAUACUUUUAUUGCAUUAUUCAGUAUGCAAAUUCAUAUCAUAUCUCAAAAUCACAUAAAGUAAAUAACUACACUUAAAAAAAAUGCAGCUGAACUCUUUAAUAAAAUAAGGCCCAUCUUAAAAAAAAGUAUAGGCCCAAAAUAAAUAAGUCAAACCCCCCCCCCCCCUUAUUUCUCCCUCUACGUCUCCCCCCAUCUCUCUCUCACCAAUACCAGAACACAUUCCCUUCUCCUCCUCUCUUCGCCAUCUCUCUCUCUCACGCAGCCGCCCCGCCACUUCUCCGUCGCCGGCGACAACAGCGAUGUCGCCGUCGCGCAUUACUCUUCCCCCUCUCCGUUCUCCCCAUCUUGCUUCUCUCUCUCUCUCUCAAAUCCCCAAAUUCUGAAAUCCCUAAAUCUGCAAAUCUACCCUUUCCAUCUUUUUUUUUCUCGGCUGGACGGUCAACGGAGAAGGACCACCGCCGCCAACCACCUCCUACUCACCCUCUCAGACCCUCCCUUAUCUCUCUAUCGGCCGACAGACAGCAGGAGUUUCAGACCACCACCGCCGCCGUUCGCAACUGCCAUCUUAUCUCUCGAUCGACGAACGGACGGCGCCAAUAGGCAACCGCCGCCGCGAUUUAUCACCACCAUCUCCGAUUCUCCCUAAACCGCCUCUUCAUCCCCUCUGAAUUUCGGCCAGCAGCUAGAGAUACCGCCGCCGCCGCCGACUCUAUCCCGCCUCCACUCCUUCUCUCCUUCUACCAGCGAUGACAGCCACGCCGGAGACAACAGCAGUAACCGCGCCUCCGCGGUGACCACUGCAGCACCGCUGCCUUCGCUCCCCCCCUGCCCUAACUCGCCUCGACUCGAUUCCCACAUCAACAACACAUAGCGAAAGGUUAAAGAAAAUACGUGUAAGGCUCAAUUAAUCCAUAGGCAUUCUGUAAACUUGUUUUCUUUUUCAUAUGCAGUUUCUGUAACAACCAUAUGUACAUCAAAUAUAUAAGAUACGAUCUUUAUUCAUGUAUGCUAAUCAUCUUUUAGAUGUAUAUGAAUGUCUUGUUUGAUUGUAAAUAAAGAAUGGUUAUUAUUAUGCUUUGGCGUAUGAAAUUGGAGUGUAUGUUUGAGAAUGGAAGUGAACUGGAGGCAAACCUUUAUGAGAAUUCUGUUAUGAAGUAAAUUUUGAGGGCUGUGAUUUUGAGCUACGAACUGUCGCCUGCUACUCUUGGUGAGAAGCUGGGAUUUUGAGUUGUGUGUUGGGUGAAGAGUUAAGCUGCUUCGUGUGUGAUCGAAAGGGCGAGAAUGGCUAAAAUUUAUAGGGGAAACUAGCAGGAAGAAGAAGACGUGGAAGUACCCCUAUCAUGCAUUAAAACUAACUACUGAUGAUCAUGUAAUGUGUCAAUUCUACUGCCCCAAGUAAAAGAUUAAAAACUCAUGCAAAAACUCAAGAUAUAUAUAUAUAUAUAUAUAUAUAUAUUCGGUCCACUUAAAGAUAUAGUGGGCUUCUUAAAUAAGUGAUCCUUUGCAAAUUGUUUACAAAGCCCAACAUCAAAAUAAUUUAUUGAGAUAGAAAAUAUAAGCACAUUGCCUUCAAAUAAUUUGAUAAAAUCUAUUAUUAAAAGGAAUACUUUUUCGAAAAAAAAUAAUAAUUUAUCCGGGCGAGAAUCUACUUAUUCUAAGUUCAAGUAUUCUCAUGAAAUCUUAUUAGGCAAAAAUCGGGGUAUUACAACCCUCCCCCCUUAAAAAAUUUCGUCCUCGAAAUUUAAAUACCUCGGCUAGCAAACUCGACUCCUAGUCUGCACACACUUUUCUCGUUCAUAGAGAUUCUAUCAAGGCAGAAUAAAUCUGGAUACCCCGUAAGGUUUUGAUCUUUCGAUCAAAUAUGUCCAUCAAUCUCUUUUCAUUUUCUUAAAUUCCAAAUAGGACUAACUUGUCAUGCUUGCUUAUCAUUUCUAUAUAUCAUCUUGAAAGCUUCCACCACCAUAGGCUUCAAACUUAACAUUUCACAUGCAUGUAGAGAUAAAAGUAUGAAGCUCUUGAUGUUAAAACAUAUACGUCAAUUUAUGACGAUUGUACCUUCUAAAUCUUUAGGUGCUUGAGCUACUUGUUGCUGGUUAAGAGCAUAAGCCCUAGCACGUGCAGGUUGUCUCUGAUUUGGCCGCUCGUUACCAAUUAGUACUUGAUUCGGCCUUUGAGGGGCAAGGUUCUGAGGUUGUGGAAUUCUCAUGUUCCCGUUAUUAUUUGGGCAGUCUCUGGCGAAAUGCCCUGGUUGCUUGCACCUAAAGCAGUCAUUGGAGCCUAUCUUACAUUCACCAUAGUGAUUUUUCUGACAUGUUGGGCAUAAAGGCUUUCCUUCAGUAUGUCCUUGUUGCUGCUGAGUUCCUCUCCAUGGUUGCUUCAUUUUUCCUGGGUUCCCUUCAUUUUCGCCUUCCCAUUUACGUUUCAUUUUUCCAUAGUUUUGGGUCGGUGCUUGUGCUGACACAUUUUCUUUUUCCUUUGGUAGUAUUGCUUCGAUGUUUAGGGACCUGCUCAAAGAUUGAGCAUAUGUUAAUGCUCCUUGACUUGCUAGUGGAACGGCUAUCUCAAGCCGCAAACCUUGUCGAAACUUUUCUGCACAUUUCUCGUCUGUGUCAACUAGAUGUGGAGCAUAUCGCGAAAGCUGGUUAAACAUUCGGUCGUACUCAGUGACUGUCAUAUUUCCUUGUCGUAAAUUCCAAAACUCAUCUAGUUUCUUCUUCCUAUAGCAUCCAGGGAUAUAUUUUUCAUACAAUCUUUCUUUAAAAUCGUUCCACGUGUAUGCCUCCCAUUGCUCGGGGGUCAAGGUUCGUCGCACCGAUUCCCACCAGAAUUCGGCCUCAUCAACGAGUUGGAAAAUUGCACAUGUGAGUUUCUCCCUAUCCCCACAGCCAACAUGGUUGAGUAUCCUUUCAGUAGCUCUUACCCAUCUCUCGGGAUCCAGAGGAUCACCAAGGCCAUCAAAAGUUGGUGGAUUAUGCUUGCGAAACUUUUCUUCCACACUACGUUCUGGUAUAACUCGUGGCACAUGUUCUUCAGGGUUAGGUCCCCUUCCUCUUUCUCCAGCAUUCUGCAUGUAAUCAACAAUGUUGGGCUUCUUCUUUUUUUCUCACAAAAAUUGGUGAUACUGGUGACAUAAAGAUCUUUCUAUUGUCUGAAACGAAUGUUGGUUGUCUACAAGUCAUCCCUUCAUGUAUCGUGCUUUGAUAUUCUAACUUUCGUAUUUCGAUAUUCUAUGCCUUACUCUUCCAUGUUCUAUGUUUAUGCCAUUCUAUACUUUCUACGUUCUGUCAUUCUAUGUUCAGUGCUUUCAUUGUUCAGUCUUUACUACGUUCAAGUCAUUCUAUCUCCAGUGCUUUCUUCGUAUAGUCCUUUCUAUUCUUAGUCUGUCCAUGUGAUUGUAAAAUUCUCUAAUCUUAAAAAUUAAAAAUCUAAAGACAUCAUUCAUUAGUUCACCAAGCGACUAUAGUAUGUCAUCAUGUCAUUUCUAGGUUCAUAACCUAACUAAAACAUGUAAUAACACGUAGUGGUUGAAUCAUCUCAUGGUAAUAAAUUGCAUAUCACGCAUUUAUGCAACAUCUCCUCAUUUCAAAACAAGUUGGGCACAUACUUUUGUAUGAUAACAUAUUUGAAUCUCAAAUUCAUGAUCAUAUGCAUGUCUUGUCUCAACAAAUGUUAAGGUUCCAUACAUGUUGCGUUUCAGUGUACGGACGUCUCCAUACAUGAUCCGCUUCAGUGUAUGUUCAGUCAUAAUUCAGAUCAAUGCAUUCAAUCUCAAACCACAUCCAUUCUUAUUGCGUGUUCAGUCUCAAUUCAUAUAUUCUGUCUCAAUGCGUCUAUAGUUUCAAUACAUGCUCUGUUUCAAUGCUUGUUCAGUCUCAAUACAUGUUCCAUCUCAAUGCAUGUUUUGUCUCAGUGCAUGUUCAGUCUCAAUGCAUGUCCCGUCUCUAUGCAUAUUCAAUCUCAAUGCAUGUUCAUCUCAAUGCAUGUUCAAUCAUAAUGCAUGUUCCAUCUCAAUGCAUAUUCAAUAUUAACAUGUUCUAUAACAUAUUCAUUUGGUGCAUGCAUUUCAGUAAACAUUUUGAAAACAUGAUUAACAUACCUUGGUUGAGGGCUGUGUGACGACGAGCUGAGGGUUGCUGUAUAAACAUUAGAAGUCUAGAGAUGAUAUCCUAGACUCGACAUCAAUGAACUUGCGGUCUCAGAGCCAAGAACUUUCGCUCUGAUACCAUCUGUGACAGCCCUCAUUCCCGGGAGAAUAGGAAACGUGCUACUUAAUGGGAUUUCUAGACUUUGCUAGGAUAAAAUAGGUGAUAUGUCUUUAGAUUUGGGUAACACAUUCAUAAUAAAGGAAUGUCGCAAUUGAAGGAUAAUAAAUACGACAACUUAGAUAGAAAUUCUCCCAACCAGGAUCAAAAGUCCGGAGGUCUGAGACAACAAGAUAACACUUCAAACUAGACAUACAUAUAUGCGAGGUUCAGUUGCUAGAAAUGCGAUUGCCAAAAGAGUUCAUAAUAAUUAGGCUAGGAAUAUUUAAAGAGUCAAUCUCAAAAGAUAUCCACCUAAGUGAAUAUUAUGGCAGCGGAAUUUAUUCUUGACAUUCAUUUGGAAAUACAGCAACACCCUCCCUCAGCUUCACACGAUACCAUCUGCCGCUCAACCUGCAAAAGGUUUUGAAAACAAUUGCAGGGCUGAGUACUAGUAUACUCAGUGGGUUUAGCCAUUUGAAAACAUUUGAAAAAAAAUCCAUUUAAAAGAAUAAUCCAUGCUAUGAACAGUAUAACAUAGAAAUAUUUGAAAGCAUUCCAUGCAUACAUAAAAUAAAUUGUGGAUCCAUUUUCAGUCUUCUCUCAAUUGGUGCUUCACCUAUAAUGUGAACAUGUGGGAGCAGCCCACAGAGGUCCACUACCAUGCAUGUUUCAGAAAUGGGAGCAGCCCAAGUCUGACAGUCUGAGGCAAGUGGGAGCAGCCCACAAUACCCCCUUGUGUGUACACAAUCCUAACCAGGGCGAUCCAAUCGCUACGCCGGCUAGGACCCGAUCGUUAGAGAACAUAGGAGCACUUUAAACAAUAGAGAGAUAAAAUCAUUUUAACAUGGACAUUCAUUUGCAUUUGCAUAAAAACAAUUUAGAGCUCAAUAACUCAAAAC